Molecule: microRNA, 19 nt
Filed under: Cervus elaphus (red deer)
Lineage: Eukaryota; Metazoa; Chordata; Mammalia; Artiodactyla; Cervidae
Description: PC-5p-62739
Source: RNAcentral
UUGCAGUGAUGACUUGAGU